RNAcentral lists this unclassified non-coding RNA (382 nucleotides) under uncultured bacterium. RNAcentral's name for it is "contains 16S-23S intergenic spacer region". The record is from RNAcentral.
UCUCCGCUUGCGCGGGCAGUUCCAUUAGAGUUCCCGGCCUGACCCGUUGGCAACUAGGGGCGAGGGUUGCGCUCGUUGCGGGACUUAACCCAACAUCUCACGACACGAGCUGACGACAGCCAUGCAGCACCUGUGUCGGCUCCCCUUGCGGGGUCGGGCCCCUUUCGGUUUCCUACCACCGACAUGUCAAACCCAGGUAAGGUUUUUCGCGUUGCGUCGAAUUGAACCACAUGCUCCACCGCUUGUGCGGGUCCCCGUCAAUUCCUUUGAGUUUUAGCCUUGCGGCCGUACUCCCCAGGCGGGGCACUUAAUGCGUUAGCUUCGGCACGGAGGGAGUCGACACCCCCCACACCUAGUGCCCAUCGUUUACAGCGUGGACUAC